CUGGAGACUCCUACGGGAGGCAGCAGUGAGGAAUAUUGGUCAAUGGGCGAGAGCCUGAACCAGCCAAGUCGCGUGAAGGAUGACUGUCUUAUGGAUUGUAAACUUCUUUUAUACGGGAAUAACAAGAGUCACGUGUGGCUCCCUGCAUGUACCGUAUGAAUAAGCAUCGGCUAACUCCGUGCCAGCAGCCGCGGUGAUGCGGGUGAUGCGAGCGUUAUCCGGAUUUAUUGGGUUUAAAGGGUGCGUAGGCGACCUGUUAAGUCAGCGUUGAAAUCUAGGAGCUUAACUCCUAAAUUGCCAUGGAUACUGGCGGGCUUGAGUGUAGAUGAGGUAGGCGGAAUGCGUGGUGUAGCGGUGGAAUGCAUAGAUAUCACGCAGAACUCCGAUUGCGAAGGCAGCUUACUAAGGUACAACUGACGCUGAAGCACGAAAGCGUGGGUAUCAAACAGGAUUAGAAACCCCGGUAGUCCGA
This 472-nucleotide ribosomal RNA is filed under the name uncultured bacterium. RNAcentral describes it as "bacterial SSU rRNA". It matches the Rfam family "Bacterial small subunit ribosomal RNA", at positions 329 to 798 of the family's 1533-position model. The record is from RNAcentral.